UUGUGACUAUAUAAUUAGCCAGGUGAGUUUUCGUGGAGGUUCGCAAUGGGUAGAGUGUCUUCAUCUAGAUCAUAUAACUCUGUCCAUAUAUCAAUGAGGUUAGCCACAUGGAUUCUUUGAUUUUCAAGAAAUGAAUCAAGGUCUAUGAAACAUUUCCUAAUGCUGGGUCUUUUUUACCCAAUGCAUCUAAGUUACUUUGGAAGCAACCAAGGAAAUCGGUUUCGGAAUCAAGAAGAGAAGAAUCUUCACACCAAACCCUUAGUCUUCUAGUCCAAGUCUCUAUGGAUUGUCCACAAAGUGAUCUUCCGAUGGCUGAAAUGGCAAGUGGAAAUCCCUUACAGUGUUCUACUAUCUGCAGUUCAAUUGUCCCAAUGAAAGUCAAUUACUUUUGAAUUGAGACUCAAAUUCUAGAUUCUCUAAAUGUUCUGAAUGGUUUGAUGAAAGAGAGAAAACGAAUGCAAGCAUAUACAAAUAUAUGAAUGAGGAUAUGCCAUGCAUUGAAUUUAAUAAAUCACAUGUUUGGCAAGGGGUUGUGGAACAUAAGAGCUAUUAUCUUCGAGUGAAGUAGAAUGAUAAAAUAGGGUCAUUGCAUCUUCAUCAUUCAACGGUUUAAACAAUAUGUGUUCAUGCUCUUUUUCAGAAAGGGCUAACUUAGAGAGAUGUGGUGUGUCUUCAACAGGGGAGAAUGUGAGGACCUUCGGUAAUGGAUGAACCUGCAGAAGACAAAGUGGGAGAAGCAGUCGUCAAGCUUCGGACACUGAUGUGGUGCCAGCCGAAGGCUCUCCGAUGAUUAAGUUAGCUAUAAGUGGUAACUUUGGUACUGUUCCCUAUUUAUAGGAGAGUCAAAAUGGGAGCUUUGCACAAAGUUUCAAUGUGAGACUUUGUGCAAGUUGCUUUGGUGGUGACAUGUGUCCUUAGAGAUUAGGUUCGGCAGGUGGUCGCCACUUCAGAAGAGUGUCUUCCUUUGCCAUGGAGGAAGGCAUGUCUACCUUGGUGUUAGUCGUUUUUGAUGCUAGACAUGCUUGGUUGAUUGUGGUGUAAACAGUAGUCCCCAAGUUGUCAAUCAAGAAGUGGCUUCUGGUUUGGGAAUUUGUAAGAAAGUUGCAUAAUUAAAUCGAGCGUGUCGGCAUGACGGGUGCCCUAGGCAGUCCCGUAGUCCCCUAAGUUCAUAAGUUAGAAGGCACGCCCCCCAUUUCUUUUUUUUUGGGGCUUCGGCAUGUUGUGUGUCGAAGGGAAGUUAGCCUUCCGAAGGAAAAAUGAAGGUCAUUACUACAUUGUGACUAUAUAAUUGGCUAGGUGAGUUUUGGUGGAGGGUCGUAAUGGGUAGAGUGUCUUCAUCUAGAUCAUAUAACUCUGUCCAUAUAUCGAUAAGGUUAGCCACAUGGAUUCUUUGAUUUUCAGGAAAUGAACCAAGGUCUAUGGAACAUUCCCUAAUGCUGGGUCUUUUUUACCCAACGCAUCUAAGUUGCUUUGGAAGCAACCAAGGAAAUCGGUUUCGGAAUCAAGAAGAGAAGAAUCUUCACACCAAACCCUUAGUCUUCUAGUCCAAGUCUCUAUGGAUUGUCCACAAAGUGAUCUUCCGAUGGCUG
This 1589-nucleotide long non-coding RNA is filed under the name Prunus dulcis (almond). Lineage: Eukaryota; Viridiplantae; Streptophyta; Magnoliopsida; Rosales; Rosaceae. The record is from RNAcentral.